Molecule: ribosomal RNA, 254 nt
Filed under: uncultured bacterium
Lineage: Bacteria
Description: partial 16S ribosomal RNA
Rfam family: Bacterial small subunit ribosomal RNA
Source: RNAcentral
UACGUAGGGCGCAAGCGUUGUCCGGAAUUAUUGGGCGUAAAGAGCUCGUAGGCGGUGUGUCACGUCGGCCGUGAAAACCUGCAGCUUAACUGUGGGCGUGCGGUCGAUACGGGCAUCACUGGAGUUCGGCAGGGGAGACUGGAAUUCCUGGUGUAGCGGUGAAAUGCGCAGAUAUCAGGAGGAACACCGGUGGCGAAGGCGGGUCUCUGGGCCGAUACUGACGCUGAGGAGCGAAAGCGUGGGGAGCGAACAGG